Molecule: non-coding RNA, 110 nt
Filed under: Helianthus annuus (common sunflower)
Lineage: Eukaryota; Viridiplantae; Streptophyta; Magnoliopsida; Asterales; Asteraceae
Source: RNAcentral
GAGAGCCGUGUGAUGGGAAACCUUCCCGCACGGUUCGGAGAGCACUGAAUUAGAAUGAGAGGUUCACCACCACAUCAUUGAAUGCAAGGGGAGCUCUCCUCUGAUUUUGU